CCAAAUGGGCCAGUGCAAAUCCUACUUGGAUAACUGUGGUAAUUCCAGAGCUAAUACAUGCAACUGAUAUCCCGAAGGCGGUUUUUGUGCUUGCUUGUCUUGCGCUUUCACUGCUCUGACGGAUGCUUUUAUUAGACCAAGCCGCUGAGGACUUGAGGGUUCGCGCUCUCUUGUUUGACUCGUGUGAUGGUGACUCUGGAUAACCAAAUUCUGACAAGCGCACGUACUUCUCUUCUGAGCGAGACGGCGCUGCCACUUUCGAGUGUCUGCCUUAUCAGCUAUCAACCGUUCGUUAUGCGCGACCGAUGGCUUUGACGGGUAACGGGGAAUCAGGGUUCGAUUCCGGAGAGGCAGCCUGAGAGACGGCUACCACGUCCAAGGACGGCAGCAGGCACGCAAAUUACCCAAUCCCAGCAAAUGGGGGAGGUAGUGACGAAAUCUAACGAUGCGGGCGCCCUUUCUGGGGCCCCGCAAUCGGAAUGGGCACUUUCUAAACAACCUGUUGAGAACCUACUGAAGG
Molecule: ribosomal RNA, 520 nt
Filed under: Diplacanthus brevispinus
Lineage: Eukaryota; Metazoa; Arthropoda; Malacostraca; Amphipoda; Acanthogammaridae
Description: bacterial SSU rRNA
Rfam family: Eukaryotic small subunit ribosomal RNA
Source: RNAcentral